GAUGAACGCUGGCGAGAUGCCUUACACAUGCAAGUCGUACGAGAGUUUUUAACUCAAGUGGCGGACGGGUGAGUAACACGUAAGAAUUUGCCUUUAGGAGGGGGACAACAACUGGAAACGGUUGCUAAUACCCCAUAUGCUUUCGAGUGAAAUGGAUUUUCCGCCUAGAGAGAAGCUUGCGGCUGAUUAGCUUGUUGGUGAGGUAAUGGCUCACCAAGGCGACGAUCAGUAUCUGGUUUGAGAGGACGAUCAGACACACUGGAACUGAGACACGGUCCAGACUCCUACGGGAGGCAGCAGUGGGAAUAUUGCACAAUGGGGGAAACCCUGAUGCAGCAACGCCGCGUGGAGGAUGACGCAUUUCGGUGUGUAAACUCCUUUUAUCAGAGAAGAUUAUGACGGUAUCUGAUGAAUAAGCUCCGGCUAACUCCGUGCCAGC
RNAcentral lists this ribosomal RNA (439 nucleotides) under uncultured bacterium. RNAcentral describes it as "bacterial SSU rRNA". It matches the Rfam family "Bacterial small subunit ribosomal RNA", at positions 28 to 512 of the family's 1533-position model. The record is from RNAcentral.